This 72-nucleotide transfer RNA is filed under the name Spirochaetia bacterium. RNAcentral describes it as "tRNA-Pro". It matches the Rfam family "tRNA". From Rfam's summary of the family: Transfer RNA (tRNA) molecules are approximately 80 nucleotides in length. Their secondary structure includes four short double-helical elements and three loops (D, anti-codon, and T loops). Lineage: Bacteria; Pseudomonadati; Spirochaetota; Spirochaetia. The record is from RNAcentral.
CGGGCCGUGGCGCAGGGGUAGCGCACACGUCUGGGGGGCGUGUGGUCGCUGGUUCAAAUCCAGUCGGCCCGA